GACGAACGCUGGCGGCGUGCCUAAUACAUGCAAGUAGGACGCACAGUCUAUACCGUAGCUUGCUACACCAUAGGCUGUGAGUUGCGAACGGGUGAGUAACGCGUAGGUAACCUGCCUAUUAGAGGGGGAUAACUAUUGGAAACGAUAGCUAAUACCGCAUAAUAGUAUGUAACACAUGUUAGAUGCUUGAAAGAUGCAAUUGCAUCGCUAGUAGAUGGACCUGCGUUGUAUUAGCUAGUAGGUAGGGUAAAGGCCUACCUAGGCAACGAUACAUAGCCGACCUGAGAGGGUGAUCGGCCACACUGGGACUGAGACACGGCCCAGACUCCUACGGGAGGCAGCAGUAGGGAAUCUUCGGCAAUGGGGGGAACCCUGACCGAGCAACGCCGCGUGAGUGAAGAAGGUUUUCGGAUCGUAAAGCUCUGUUGUUAAGGAAGAAUGAGUGUGAGAAUGGAAAGUUCAUACUGUGACGGUACUUAACCAGAAAGGGACGGCUAACUACGUGCCAGCAGCCGCGGUAAUACGUAGGUCCCGAGCGUUGUCCGGAUUUAUUGGGCGUAAAGCGAGCGCAGGCGGUUAGAAAAGUCUGAAGUGAAAGGCAGUGGCUCAACCAUUGUAGGCUUUGGAAACUGUUUAACUUGAGUGCAGAAGGGGAGAGUGGAAUUCCAUGUGUAGCGGUGAAAUGCGUAGAUAUAUGGAGGAACACCGGUGGCGAAAGCGGCUCUCUGGUCUGUAACUGACGCUGAGGCUCGAAAGCGUGGGGAGCGAACAGG
Molecule: ribosomal RNA, 773 nt
Filed under: Streptococcus anginosus
Lineage: Bacteria; Bacillati; Bacillota; Bacilli; Lactobacillales; Streptococcaceae
Description: bacterial SSU rRNA
Rfam family: Bacterial small subunit ribosomal RNA
Source: RNAcentral